AGGAUGAACGCUAGCGGCAGGCUUAACACAUGCAAGUCGAGGGGUAUAGUUCUUCGGAGCUAGAGACCGGCGCACGGGUGCGUAACGCGUAUGCAAUCUACCUUUUACAAAGGAAUAGCCCAGAGAAAUUUGGAUUAAUGCCUUAUAGUAUUACGACUUGGCAUCAAGAUGUAAUUAAAGAUUUAUCGGUAAAAGAUGAGCAUGCGUCCCAUUAGCUAGUUGGUAUGGUAACGGCAUACCAAGGCUACGAU
This 251-nucleotide ribosomal RNA is filed under the name uncultured bacterium. RNAcentral describes it as "partial small subunit ribosomal RNA". It matches the Rfam family "Bacterial small subunit ribosomal RNA", at positions 26 to 280 of the family's 1533-position model. The record is from RNAcentral.